This 119-nucleotide ribosomal RNA is filed under the name Pteropus alecto (black flying fox). Lineage: Eukaryota; Metazoa; Chordata; Mammalia; Chiroptera; Pteropodidae. The record is from RNAcentral.
GUCUACAGCCAUGCUACCCUGAACAAACCCAAUCCCUUCUGAUCUUGGAAGCUAAGCAGGGUUGGGCCUGGUUAGCACUUGGAUGGGAGACCACCUAGGAAGUCCAGGUGCUGUAGGUG